Molecule: long non-coding RNA, 232 nt
Filed under: Felis catus (domestic cat)
Lineage: Eukaryota; Metazoa; Chordata; Mammalia; Carnivora; Felidae
Description: lncRNA (ENSFCAG00000041846.2)
Source: RNAcentral
CUCUCUCUCUCUCUCUCUCUGUCUCUCCCCGUCCCCCUUUCUCUCUGUCUUUUUCAGAGAAUGACUGGCUGCCCAGCUUGAGGGAGUGCAGUCAUCAGAUAGCCUCAAGGUGUCAGCUCCAUUAGGGUUUGUCUCAGCUGCCAAGAGACGUCUUGCUGGAGAAAACCUGUUCCAGGAAUGACAUUAAACCUUUCUUUUGAAUAUUUUUACUGGAGCAAGUCUUUCCUCAUUU